GACGAACGCUGGCGGCGUGCUUAAUACAUGCAAGUCGAGCGCAGGAAGCUGACGGAACUCUUCGGAGGGAAGGCAGUGGAAUGAGCGGCGGACGGGUGAGUAACACGUAAGGAACCUACCUCAAGGAUCGGGAUAACUCCGAGAAAUCGGAGCUAAUACCGGAUAGUUCAACGGACCGCAUGGUCCGCUGAUGAAAGGCGCUCCGGCGUCACCUUGAGAUGGCCUUGCGGUGCAUUAGCUAGUUGGUGGGGUAACGGCUCACCAAGGCGACGAUGCAUAGCCGACCUGAGAGGGUGAUCGGCCACACUGGGACUGAGACACGGCCCAGACUCCUACGGGAGGCAGCAGUAGGGAAUCUUCCACAAUGGACGAAAGUCUGAUGGAGCAACGCCGCGUGAGUGAUGAAGGUUUUCGGAUCGUAAAACUCUGUUGUAAGGGAAGAACACGUACGAGAGGAAAUGCUCGUACCUUGACGGUACCUUACGAGAAAGCCACGGCUAACUACGUGCCAGCCGCCGCGGUAA
Molecule: ribosomal RNA, 524 nt
Filed under: uncultured bacterium
Lineage: Bacteria
Description: partial 16S ribosomal RNA
Rfam family: Bacterial small subunit ribosomal RNA
Source: RNAcentral